Homo sapiens (human) is the source of this 978-nucleotide long non-coding RNA. The record is from Ensembl. NCBI's taxonomy places the organism in Eukaryota, Metazoa, Chordata, Mammalia, Primates, Hominidae.
GGCGACCACCGUCCGGUUAGCGACACCUGCCAGCCAGCGCCUGCGCCUCCGCCUCCGCCUCCCGCCGGAAGUCCCGCCCCGCCACGUUAGGUUAAGUCCCAGAGUCCGGAACCGCUGCCUGCGGCUUGACACAGGGUUGCGACCAGUAUCAGCGCCCGGCUUGUCCCCGCUGCCCGCCGCGUCCCUGGCCCGGAUGUGGGAGGCGAAGGCGGUGAGCAUUUCCAGAGCGGUGAGAUGAGCGCCGCGCAUAAUCAGGCGAUGCCCGUCUCCUGGGGAAGAAACAAACGAGUGAGACAGGGAGGGACCGCAGUGCUGGGGCUUAGGGGCGCGCGGGCUGCUCGCUGUUCCCUCCUGCCCGUCUCCACCAAGCCCACCGAACAGCACGUCCACGCAGGGCUCGGAGCCGUCAUGCCUCACGUCCGCAAUCACUGAGCAGUUGAGAUUAGUGGAGCGGACCUUCUCACUGCUCACCGUCUGCAGGAAGGUCCUACGGUGGAAAAACAGAGGAGCGCCAAGCUGAGGGCUUAAAGCCCCGGCUGAAGGAAGGCGCACCACUUCCCGCUUCUACCCACUUCCCCUUCGUACCUCGUCGAUUCCACGUUUUUCUCGAAGGGACAGAACUGAACCCGAACCUGUUUGACAGGCCGCAGACCAAGCCGAGCCAAGGCAGCUGCCAUGGUGACCUCCGCCCCGGAAGAACUCGUGCAGGCGGAAGUGUCGCAUUGCGUGAGGCCGUGAAUGGCUGCGCUUCUGCGGGAUAGACUUCCGGCCGCCGGCUGCUUAGCAGGCCUGCGAACCGCAGCUCUGGGCUUCCUAGCCCAGGCGGAGGAAGGCAGGAAAGAAAGAGGUGGUUUCGGCACAACGCAUGGGGGAGCCCAAAGUAGGCUGUCAGCAAAUACAGCCUAUCAUGAAUAGUCCUCUCAUACGACGGUGAAAACCAUAAAUAAAUGGCGCAAAAACCUCUUUGCACGAAAAUAC